GACGGUGAUAAAUGUUUAGUUGUGAGACAACCAACAUUUCCUUAAGGGAUGUUUAGUGCCUUAGAUGGGUUCUGUGAGAUAGGUGAGAUUUUUAUUACACCAACUAACAGAUUCUGCGAUUUGCGAAAGCAAUGGUCACUUGACCUAAUGCUGGUACAGACCUAAAGAGACAACCUAACUAGAGGGUAUUUCUGAACCAUAUGGGCAGCUUAUCAGACACGUAGCACAGGUGAAACAAUAGAGAUGAAUACACGGCGAGAAGUUGCUGAGGUUAGACUUCUGGUUGACAAUGUGCAUUACCAGCAAUCUCAACAUUGGCCAUUCCCCACGCGGUUUGAUGAUAGGUUGCUAUGCAACUAUCAUACCAGGCACCGCACAUCAGUUGAACUUAGAUGAGAAGGAAUUGGAAGAUGCAAGAUGGAUGUCCAGAGAAGAAGUAAAGUCUUUACUUGAAUCAAGUACACGUUCAGAGGCCGGGAUGUCAUCAAUAUGGUUCCAACACCACCAGCUAUGCU
Molecule: long non-coding RNA, 515 nt
Organism: Anneissia japonica
Lineage: Eukaryota; Metazoa; Echinodermata; Crinoidea; Comatulida; Comatulidae
Exons: 3
Source: RefSeq, a predicted model, not a curated record